UCCACGUGUUCGACCAGGGCCAGUUUGCCA
RNAcentral lists this non-coding RNA (30 nucleotides) under Homo sapiens (human). Lineage: Eukaryota; Metazoa; Chordata; Mammalia; Primates; Hominidae. The record is from RNAcentral.